GUGGUUGUAGCUCAGUGGUAGAGUGUUUGCCUAGUAUGUGUGAGGCACUGGGUUCAAUUCUCAGGAUCACA
RNAcentral lists this transfer RNA (71 nucleotides) under Ictidomys tridecemlineatus (thirteen-lined ground squirrel). RNAcentral describes it as "Spermophilus tridecemlineatus (thirteen-lined ground squirrel) tRNA". It matches the Rfam family "tRNA". From Rfam's summary of the family: Transfer RNA (tRNA) molecules are approximately 80 nucleotides in length. The record is from Rfam by way of RNAcentral. Lineage: Eukaryota; Metazoa; Chordata; Mammalia; Rodentia; Sciuridae.